CCUGAGAAACCCGAAAGGUCGAAAGGAGAAAUUCAUUCGCGUUUCGAUGCGAGCAACUGGUAGUGUGUGUGCGGCAGAUUGGCUCCGGCUMYUUUGCGCCCUCUAUCUUUUGAUACUCGARYCGAACGCGUGCACUUUUCUCCUAGUAGGACGUCGCGAUCCGUUGGGCGUCGAUUUACGAAUGAUGCGAUGGAGCUUGUUUGUGAAACGUCUUUGGAUGUUUUUUCUUACUUACAAACUCGUACAUUCCAAUCGACUGCUCGACGGUAUAUAGAUAACGGUUAAGGGCCGCUGCUUAUAGCGUCUGACUCAUGACAAGCGCGCUAGACUGUUGGGCCUUCGGACCUAGUGCCGAUUCCGACACCUAGUGACUGUUGGUUGUGAUGUUCUUGGACAGACCCUUACUAACCGAUCUGCGACGCUAUAGCUUUGGGUAAUUUCAGGACCCGUCUUGAAACACGGACCAAGGAGUCUAGCAUGUACGCAAGUCAUUGGGAAUUACUAAACCUAAAGGCGAAAUGAAAGUAAAGAUCUUUCUUCACGAGAGAUCGAGGGAAGACGAUAGACUCUGCGGAGUUUUUCUGCAUUCCCGGGGCGUCUCAUUCUCAUUGCGAGAGGAGGCGCACCAAGAGCGUACACGCUGGGACCCGAAAGAUGGUGAACUAUGCCUG
RNAcentral lists this ribosomal RNA (671 nucleotides) under Scolytodes frontocarinatus. RNAcentral describes it as "partial large subunit ribosomal RNA". Lineage: Eukaryota; Metazoa; Arthropoda; Insecta; Coleoptera; Curculionidae. The record is from RNAcentral.